Molecule: non-coding RNA, 635 nt
Organism: Phalacrocorax carbo (great cormorant)
Lineage: Eukaryota; Metazoa; Chordata; Aves; Suliformes; Phalacrocoracidae
Source: RefSeq, a predicted model, not a curated record
AUUUGAGAAUGAAACCAAUCACAGAGAACAAGUCGUCAGGAAUAUGGGGUAAAAAUAACACAUUUAACUGUUUAUUUCUUUGUUCUUGCAGAUUUCUACAUUGACUUUAAUUAAGCUAGCCCUGGGCUAGUGGGCAUGGAGAGGGUUUUUUUCCCCUUUUUAAUUUUUUUAAUUCCUCAUUAGGCUGUUUUUUCCUUAGCUGUCAUGACUUUAAUGACUAGUCCCAUUAAUUAGGUCAAUGGGCUUCUUUUAUUUCAAGUUUCAUAUAGACUCAUAUCCCACUGAAUCUUAAACACUGAACACCCGAAGUCUUUCUAGGUGUAUUUCUUCAUUUCUGCAGCUAAAGAUGCAUUUCUUUCUCUUUUCCCUUCUCUCCACAGCAGCUGACUUUUCAUUGCAACGUACCUGGGAAAGCUCUGGGAAGCUGGCACCAGUCUGGGCCAGCCACAUGCAACAAUACCUCCCUAGUUGUAUGAUGAUGAGACCAGCUUUUCCGCAGGGUUCCACAGGGAACCCCCGAAGUAUAAGCAAAGAGCGGCAGCCGGGUAUGGAGCUGUGGAUCAAACCAAAUGCAGUAGACUGUGUGGAAUCAGUUUUCUACUGCUGAAGCCAAUGACUUUCAUAGGUGUUUCCUG